AUUUAUUUCUAGAGAAAAAGAAAAGCAAAAUAGAAAAGCUUCUUGUAAACGACGAAGGUGUUAUAAAUAUCAGAACACCGACGAGGGUGUGUUUUUCUCCGAAGCUUUGUUGGCGGCAAAGCAAAUCUGUAUUGCGAUGGCGCCUACGAAGCUCUUCUUCUUAGCGUUUUCAGUAGCCCUAAUUUUCGCCACCGUCGGGGCCGAGGCUGAUGUUUCCAUUGAAGGAAGCGUAGCAGAGCCUGAUACCUCUGCCUUCAAGAUCCAAUUAGAUCAACUCAAUUCUAAGAUCCGAAUUCUAGAAUCUGAAAUCAGAGAAAAGUCGGAAGAAGUGAAGAGGAGGGACGAAAUUGUGGCCGGGAAAGAAAAAAUUAUUCAAGAUAAAUCGGUCACCAUACAGUCUCUCCAGAAUGAUAUUGCUUCUCUCCAGAAAAAAGGGUCAUUGGAUGCUGAAGAGCAAGUCGGAAAGGCUCAUGCACGUGCUGUUGAACUACAGAAUCAGGUGGACAAGCUUAAAGGGGAACUAGAAACACAAAACAGGGAGAAAGGGAACUGGGAAACUCGAGUGCUUGGGUUAGAGAAAAAAGUUCAUGACUUGAACUCAAAAUUAGAAGAUCUUCAAAAGAUAAACCAGGAGCAGAGGACACAGAUUCAGAAAACUGAACGUGCUCUUAAAGUUACUGAGGAAGAGAUGGUGAAGGCUAAGUUUGAGGCAGCUGUCAUACAAGCAGAGUUGAGUGCGACACGCGGUGCUUGGCUUCCACCUUGGCUUGCUGUACACUAUCUUCAUAGUAAGGUGAGUCUAUGUUGUAUCUCCUCUUAUUUGUUAGAAGAGCCUUCCUCACCAGUUCUGAGAAUUUUAUUUUUCUACCAGUCUUGUGUUGAGACUCAAUGGAACAAACACGGGAAACCUGUUUGGGAAAAGGUUGCUCAAAAGGCCCUAGAUAAAAAGGCACAAGCUGGAAAGUGGGCUGAACCUCAUGUGGAAAUCAUUAAAACUAAAUGGGUCCCUGCUGUAAAAGAACAGUGGUAUGUGGUGAAAACAAGUGCUGAACCGCAUGUGCAAUUAUUGACUACAAAAACUGUUGAAGGUUAUGAGGCUACCAGGAAGACAAUUUCUCCCCAUUUAAGCAAGGCAAAAGAAUUUGUUCAUCCUUAUUAUCAGGAAGCUAGAAAGUUCAGCAAGCCAUACAUUGAUCAGAUUGCUGUUGUAGCUAAACCUCAUGUUGAUAAAGUACAAGUGGUUUUGAAGCCCUACACAAAUAAAGUUGUUCAUGUUUAUGGGAAGUUUUUGGAAUCAGCCACUACAUAUCAUAGCCAGGUCCAAGCCACUGUUCAAGAGACACUGAAGAAGCAUGAGCUCACCAGACCUCUUGCUACUAAAGAGUUAGAAUGGUUUGCGGCCUCUGCUCUUUUGGCUCUACCUAUUAUUUUUGCGGCUAGAGUGUUUUCAGCUGUGUUCUGGUCGGUCUUUAAUCAAUAAGAAAGUGAAUAAACCUUCUCGAGGUGGAAGUCACCAUGUGCGACGCAAAUCUAAGCGAGGCCAUCCAGACAAGCACACAUCAUGAAGUUAGGUCCUGCCUUAUUUUUUUUCUUGGAAAGAAAUUUAGAUAAUUUUUCCUGUUCGCAUGGGCGUAUGGAGGGCUAUAUCUUUCAUGUCAUGAGGGGUUUUGAAUAUUUGCUUCUCUUUUUCUGGGUGAGGUAACUUUAGGAUGUUUCACUGUAGAGUUGGGCACACACUAUGUUUAGGUGUUUAUGUAUUGUCUUGUCACUGUGUUAUAUUUGUUAUUAUACUUGGCACUCCCAUUUGCUGUCGGUUUUAUUUUCUUAAAUUCUUGACAGUAGAAGUGUUUCCACUUGAUGUAUGUUUAUUAGAAUCAGAAAUUUUCUUUCUAUCGCGGUUUUCUGCGGAACGUUAAAUUUAUUUUUAAAAGAAACUAAUUCAUGAGUUAUUCUUCAUUGGAA
Vigna unguiculata (cowpea) is the source of this 1962-nucleotide RNA transcript. RefSeq lists it as uncharacterized. Lineage: Eukaryota; Viridiplantae; Streptophyta; Magnoliopsida; Fabales; Fabaceae. The record is from RefSeq and is a predicted model, not a curated record.